This is a non-coding RNA of Coturnix japonica (Japanese quail), 580 nucleotides long. The record is from RefSeq and is a predicted model, not a curated record. NCBI's taxonomy places the organism in Eukaryota, Metazoa, Chordata, Aves, Galliformes, Phasianidae.
UGGCCCCCCCCGGACCCCCCCGACCCCUCCGUGCGCUGCCUGCCGGACCCCAACAGCUGCCCCCCAAGUCCACCCCACGGAGGCGCCAUCACCCCACACCCACCCGGAGGGGACAACGGGGGACAGCGGCCGCCCCACGGAUCCAUAUGGGGCCGUCGUGACCCACAGCUGCCCCAUAAGUUGGGGGGACAAUGAGAGACAUCAUGGCCACCACGUCAACCCCAUUGGGACCCCAAUAUGGCCUUGGGUCUGCCCCAUAGAUCCCUAUGGGGCCGUCGUGACCCACGGCUGCCCCAUAAGUUGGGGGGACAAUGAGAGACAUCAUGGCUGCCAUGUCAACCCCAUUGGGACCCCAAUAUGGCCUUGGGGUCUGCCCCAUAGAUCCCUAUGGGGCCAUCGUGACCCACAGCUGCCCCAUAAGUUGGGGAGACGACGAGGGACAUCAUGGCCGCCAUGUCGACCCCAUUGGGAUCCCAUAUAUGGCCUUGGGGCCAAUAAUGGGGACGAGCCGGGUGUCGCUUUGGGGUCAAUGUGGGGCAUUAAAGGUCAUUUGGGGACACUGUGGGGUCCCUUUAGGGUC